This 460-nucleotide ribosomal RNA is filed under the name uncultured bacterium. Its description in RNAcentral is "partial 16S ribosomal RNA". It matches the Rfam family "Bacterial small subunit ribosomal RNA", at positions 338 to 795 of the family's 1533-position model. The record is from RNAcentral.
CCUACGUGUGGCAGCAGUGAGGAAUAUUGGUCAAUGGGCGCGAGCCUGAACCAGCCAAGUAGCGUGAAGGAUGACUGCCCUACGGGUUGUAAACUUCUUUUAUAAAGGAAUAAAGUGAGGCACGUGUGCCUUUUUGUAUGUACUUUAUGCAUAAGGAUCGGCUAACUCCGUGCCAGCAGCCGCGGUAAUACGGAGGAUCCGAGCGUUAUCCGGAUUUAUUGGGGUUAAAGGGAGCUGUGAUGGGUUGUUAAGUCAGUUGUGAAAGUUUGCGGCUCAAACGUAAAAUUGCAAUUGAUACUGGCAGUCUUGAGUACAGUUGAGGUAGGCGGAAUUCGUGGUGUAGCGGUGAAAUGCUUAGAUAUCACGAAGAACUCCGAUUGCGAAGGCAGCUUACUAACCUGCCACUGACAUUGAUGCUCGAAAGUGUGGGUAUCAAACAGGAUUAGAUACCCCUGUAGUC